This 220-nucleotide long non-coding RNA is filed under the name Elaeis guineensis (African oil palm). RNAcentral describes it as "long non-coding RNA (EGUI_LNC041283)". The record is from RNAcentral. Lineage: Eukaryota; Viridiplantae; Streptophyta; Magnoliopsida; Arecales; Arecaceae.
CUCUCCCUUCCUUCCUGUGCCGGUGUGCACGAUUGCCAGCGACUGGAGUCGUCGGAUUUUGUUGGAGAAAAUAUCCUCUAUUUCAGCCCCUCUUCUUCUUAGUUUUUCGGUGCCGGUGGUCACCGCCGAUCGUUGGAUUUACUUCUUUUGAGUUGCCCUGUUGUCGGCCACCAUUGUGCCGGUCGCAUCACUAAUCGGCCGACCAAACAAGGGGACCACA